CUACAGCAAGGAGUCAGUGAAUUUUCAAUCACAGACACAUCAAGUUAAAGAGACAAUCUAAGCACUGAGCUUUUUUCUUCACCUCUUCAAGACAACCGCAGCAACAAGUUUUACCUUUCCUUAAAAGGUGCUCUUUUUCCCGAAAUAAGAAAACUGUAGCACAAAGGUGGAUAUUUGAGGCCUCAGAAGACUUUAUAUUAAAGGAAAGUAGGACAUCCUUAUA
Long non-coding RNA from Protobothrops mucrosquamatus (brown spotted pit viper), 223 nucleotides. RefSeq lists it as uncharacterized. NCBI's taxonomy places the organism in Eukaryota, Metazoa, Chordata, Lepidosauria, Squamata, Viperidae. The record is from RefSeq and is a predicted model, not a curated record. The transcript is spliced from 3 exons.